AUUCCAUGUGUUGAUGAAUCGGGCUGAAUUCAGGCUGCUUAACUAAUUUUCGAAGGUCCUUGCACCAUUGAGAAUGCCAAGGUCUAUCUCUGCCAUUAUUAAGAUCUGCCCAACCACCAUAUUUGGAUGUUAGAAUUCUAACCCAUAGUUGGUUUUGAUUAGAGGCUAAAUCCCAUAGCCAUUUACCCAACAAAGCUACAUUAAAACUAGUAAUAUCCUUAAUCCCAAGACCCCCAAACUCCUUGGGAAAUUUAUGGAUUUAUGAAAAAAGGCAGUGUUACUGUCACCUUCCUUGACCAUCCCAGAGCUUUUCUUGAGGCCUUAUCAGGUUAGAUGGGAUGCCACCAUGUU
Molecule: unclassified non-coding RNA, 351 nt
Filed under: uncultured bacterium
Lineage: Bacteria
Description: contains 16S-23S intergenic spacer region
Source: RNAcentral